AUACGGAGGGGGCUAGCGUUGUUCGGAAUUACUGGGCGUAAAGCGCGCGUAGGCGGCGCGACCAGUUAGGCGUGAAAGGCCUGGGCUCAACCCAGGGACUGCGCUUAAUACUGUUGUGCUUGAGUCCGGGAGAGGGUGGUGGAAUUCCCAGUGUAGAGGUGAAAUUCGUAGAUAUUGGGAAGAACACCAGUGGCGAAGGCGGCCACCUGGCCCGGUACUGACGCUGAGGUGCGAAAGCGUGGGGAGCAAACAGGAUUAGAAACCCCAGUAGUCC
RNAcentral lists this ribosomal RNA (274 nucleotides) under uncultured bacterium. RNAcentral's name for it is "partial 16S ribosomal RNA". It matches the Rfam family "Bacterial small subunit ribosomal RNA", at positions 523 to 796 of the family's 1533-position model. The record is from RNAcentral.